This 162-nucleotide ribosomal RNA is filed under the name Escherichia coli. RNAcentral describes it as "partial 23S ribosomal RNA". It matches the Rfam family "Bacterial large subunit ribosomal RNA", at positions 2769 to 2925 of the family's 2925-position model. Lineage: Bacteria; Pseudomonadati; Pseudomonadota; Gammaproteobacteria; Enterobacterales; Enterobacteriaceae. The record is from RNAcentral.
UGCUGAAAGCAUCUAAGCACGAAACUUGCCCCGAGAUGAGUUCUCCCUGACUCCUUGAGAGUCCUGAAGGAACGUUGAAGACGACGACGUUGAUAGGCCGGGUGUGUAAGCGCAGCGAUGCGUUGAGCUAACCGGUACUAAUGAACCGUGAGGCUUAACCUU